GACAGAGGGUGCAAACGUUGCUCGGAAUCACUGGGCGUAAAGGGCGUGUAGGCGGGAAUGUAAGUCGGGCGUGAAAUCCCUAGGCUCAACCUAGGAACUGCACUCGAAACUGCGUUUCUUGAGUAUCGGAGAGGAAAGCGGAAUACCUGGUGUAGAGGUGAAAUGCGCAGAUAUCAGGAGGAACACCGAUGGCGAAGGCAGGUCUCUGGGCCACUACUGACGCUGAGAAGCGAAAGCAUGGGGAGCGAACAGG
Molecule: ribosomal RNA, 253 nt
Filed under: uncultured bacterium
Lineage: Bacteria
Description: partial 16S ribosomal RNA
Rfam family: Bacterial small subunit ribosomal RNA
Source: RNAcentral